AGAGUUUGAUCAUGGCUCAGAUUGAACGCUGGCGGUAUGCUUAACACAUGCAAGUCGAACGGUAACAGCAGAGCUUGCUCUGGCUGACGAGUGGCGGACGGGUGCGUAACGCGUAGGAAUCUGCCUAUUAGUGGGGGACAACCUGGGGAAACUCAGGCUAAUACCGCAUACGCCCUACGGGGGAAAGCGGGGGAUCUUCGGACCUCGCGCUAAUAGAUGAGCCUGCGUUAGAUUAGCUGGUUGGUGAGGUAAUGGCUCACCAAGGCGACGAUCUAUAGCUGGUCUGAGAGGACGAUCAGCCACACUGGGACUGAGACACGGCCCAGACUCCUACGGGAGGCAGCAGUGGGGAAUAUUGGACAAUGGGCGCAAGCCUGAUCCAGCAAUACCGCGUGUGUGAAGAAGGCCCGAGGGUUGUAAAGCACUUUCAAUGGGGAGGAAAACAGGCAGCUUAAUAAGCUGUCUCUUGACA
Molecule: ribosomal RNA, 472 nt
Filed under: uncultured Gammaproteobacteria bacterium
Lineage: Bacteria; Pseudomonadati; Pseudomonadota; Gammaproteobacteria
Description: bacterial SSU rRNA
Rfam family: Bacterial small subunit ribosomal RNA
Source: RNAcentral